RNAcentral lists this ribosomal RNA (397 nucleotides) under uncultured bacterium. Its description in RNAcentral is "bacterial SSU rRNA". It matches the Rfam family "Bacterial small subunit ribosomal RNA", at positions 28 to 429 of the family's 1533-position model. The record is from RNAcentral.
GACGAACGCUGGCGGCGUGCUUAACACAUGCAAGUCGAGCGGUAAGGCCCUUUCGGGGGUACACGAGCGGCGAACGGGUGAGUAACACGUGGGUGACCUGCCCUCAGCUCUGGGAUAAGCCUGGGAAACCGGGUCUAAUACUGGAUAUGACUCCAUGACGCAUGUUGUGGGGUGGAAAGCCUUGUGCGGCUGAGGAUGGGCCCGCGGCCUAUCAGCUUGUUGGUGGGGUGAUGGCCUACCAAGGCGACGACGGGUAGCUGGCCUGAGAGGGGCGACCGGCCACACUGGGACUGAGACACGGCCCAGACUCCUACGGGAGGCAGCAGUGGGGAAUCUUGCGCAAUGGGCGAAAGCCUGACGCAGCGACGCCGCGUGAGGGAUGACGGCCUGGUGUAAC